AUUGAACGCUGGCGGCAGGCUUAACACAUGCAAGUCGAGCGGGGUGAUGGUGCUUGCACUAUCACUUAGCGGCGGACGGGCGAGUAAUGCUUAGGAAUCUGCCUAUUAGUGGGGGACAACAUCUCGAAAGGGAUGCUAAUACCGCAUACGUCCUACGGGAGAAAGCAGGGGAUCACUUGUGACCUUGCGCUAAUAGAUGAGCCUAAGUCGGAUUAGCUAGUUGGUGGGGUAAAGGCCUACCAAGGCGACGAUCUGUAGCGGGUCUGAGAGGAUGAUCCGCCACACUGGGACUGAGACACGGCCCAGACUCCUACGGGAGGCAGCAGUGGGGAAUAUUGGACAAUGGGGGGAACCCUGAUCCAGCCAUGCCGCGUGUGUGAAGAAGGCCUUAUGGUUGUAAAGCACUUUAAGCGAGGAGGAGGCUCUUUUGGUUCAUACCCAAGAUGAGUGGACGUUACUCGCAGAAUAAGCACCGGCUAACUCUGUGCCAGCAGCCGCCGUAA
RNAcentral lists this ribosomal RNA (503 nucleotides) under uncultured bacterium. Its description in RNAcentral is "partial 16S ribosomal RNA". It matches the Rfam family "Bacterial small subunit ribosomal RNA", at positions 30 to 523 of the family's 1533-position model. The record is from RNAcentral.